Molecule: ribosomal RNA, 417 nt
Filed under: uncultured bacterium
Lineage: Bacteria
Description: bacterial SSU rRNA
Rfam family: Bacterial small subunit ribosomal RNA
Source: RNAcentral
UGGGGAAUAUUGGGCAAUGGGCGCAAGCCUGACCCAGCAACGCCGCGUGAAGGAAGAAGGCUUUCGGGUUGUAAACUUCUUUUCUAAGGGACGAAGGAAGUGACGGUACCUUAGGAAUAGGCCACGGCUAACUACGUGCCAGCAGCCGCGGUAAUACGUAGGUGGCAAGCGUUAUCCGGAUUUAUUGGGUGUAAAGGGCGUGUAGGCGGGAGUGCAAGUCAGAUGUGAAAACUAUGGGCUCAACCCAUAGCCUGCAUUUGAAACUGUUUUCUUGAGUACUGGAGAGGCAGACGGAAUUCCUAGUGUAGCGGUGAAAUGCGUAGAUAUUAGGAGGAACACCAGUGGCGAAGGCGGUCUGCUGGACAGCAACUGACGCUGAGGCGCGAAAGCGUGGGGAGCAAACAGGAUUAGAUACCC